GAGUUGGUAGCUCAGUGGUACAGUGCAUGCUUUGUGUGUAUCAUGUCCUGGGUUCAAUCCCCAGCUUCUUCC
Molecule: non-coding RNA, 72 nt
Organism: Dallia pectoralis (Alaska blackfish)
Lineage: Eukaryota; Metazoa; Chordata; Actinopteri; Esociformes; Umbridae
Source: the annotation of a GenBank genome assembly